This 540-nucleotide ribosomal RNA is filed under the name Vogesella sp. enrichment culture. RNAcentral describes it as "bacterial SSU rRNA". It matches the Rfam family "Bacterial small subunit ribosomal RNA", at positions 374 to 907 of the family's 1533-position model. Lineage: Bacteria; Pseudomonadati; Pseudomonadota; Betaproteobacteria; Neisseriales; Chromobacteriaceae. The record is from RNAcentral.
GGCGAAAGCCUGAUCCAGCCAUGCCGCGUGUCUGAAGAAGGCCUUCGGGUUGUAAAGGACUUUUGUCAGGGAGGAAAUCCCUAGCGUUAAUACCGCUGGGGGAUGACAGUACCUGAAGAAUAAGCACCGGCUAACUACGUGCCAGCAGCCGCGGUAAUACGUAGGGUGCGAGCGUUAAUCGGAAUUACUGGGCGUAAAGCGUGCGCAGGCGGUUUGAUAAGCCAGAUGUGAAAUCCCCGAGCUCAACUUGGGAACUGCGUUUGGAACUGUCAGACUAGAGUGCGUCAGAGGGGGGUGGAAUUCCGCGUGUAGCAGUGAAAUGCGUAGAGAUGCGGAGGAACACCGAUGGCGAAGGCAGCCCCCUGGGAUGACACUGACGCUCAUGCACGAAAGCGUGGGGAGCAAACAGGAUUAGAUACCCUGGUAGUCCACGCCCUAAACGAUGUCAAUUAGCUGUUGGGGGUUAGAAUCCCUGGUAGCGUAGCUAACGCGUGAAAUUGACCGCCUGGGGAGUACGGCCGCAAGGUUAAAACUCAAAGA